UACGAAGGGGGCUAGCGUUACUCGGAUUGACUGGGCGUAAAGGGCGCGUAGGCGGAUGGUACAGUCAGAUGUGAAAUUCCUGGGCUCAACCUGGGGGCUGCGCUUGAUACGUGCUGUCUGGAGUUCGGAAGAGGGUCGUGGAAUUCCCAGUGUAGAGGUGAAAUUCGUAGAUAUUGGGAAGAACACCGGUGGCGAAGGCGGCGACCUGGUCCGAUACUGACGCUGAGGCGCGAAAGCGUGGGGAGCAAACAGG
This 253-nucleotide ribosomal RNA is filed under the name uncultured bacterium. RNAcentral describes it as "partial 16S ribosomal RNA". It matches the Rfam family "Bacterial small subunit ribosomal RNA", at positions 524 to 776 of the family's 1533-position model. The record is from RNAcentral.